RNAcentral lists this ribosomal RNA (305 nucleotides) under uncultured bacterium. RNAcentral's name for it is "partial 16S ribosomal RNA". It matches the Rfam family "Bacterial small subunit ribosomal RNA", at positions 508 to 807 of the family's 1533-position model. The record is from RNAcentral.
ACAGCAGUCGCCGCGGUAAUACGAAGGGUGCAAGCGUUAAUCGGAAUUACUGGGCGUAAAGCGUGCGUAGGCGGUGAGUUAAGUCUGCUGUGAAAUCCCCGGGCUCAACCUGGGAAUGGCAAUGGAUACUGGCUAGCUAGAGUGUGUCAGAGGAUGGUGGAAUUCCCGGUGUAGCGGUGAAAUGCGUAGAGAUCAGGAGGAACAUCAGUGGCGAAGGCGGCCAUCUGGGACAACACUGACGCUGAGGCACGAAAGCGUGGGGAGCAAACAGGAUUAGAUACCCGGGUAGUCCCUGUCUCUUAUAC